GUUUGACCUCAAAUCAGGUAGGAAUACCGCUAACUUAAGCAUAUCAAUAAGCGGAGGAAAAGAAACCAACCGGGAUUGCCUU
This 82-nucleotide ribosomal RNA is filed under the name Kluyveromyces lactis. Its description in RNAcentral is "partial 28S ribosomal RNA". It matches the Rfam family "Eukaryotic large subunit ribosomal RNA", at positions 1 to 81 of the family's 3401-position model. The record is from RNAcentral. Lineage: Eukaryota; Fungi; Ascomycota; Saccharomycetes; Saccharomycetales; Saccharomycetaceae.